GAUUUUUCUUGGCCGGUGGUGUUAGUGCUUAUGGUUUGUUUACCAUUUUCUCUGCUGCAUUUAUUAGCAUGUCAAAUGUUAGUACGACUUCGUCCAUGUAAAUGACUGAGUAUGGACAAAUGUUUUUAUUCUGUAAUUUUGUCUAUACAGUACUGUCUAAAGUUGACAAGUUUAUCCUUUUAGUUGGCAGAAGCAACCGCC
Molecule: long non-coding RNA, 201 nt
Filed under: Mytilus galloprovincialis (Mediterranean mussel)
Lineage: Eukaryota; Metazoa; Mollusca; Bivalvia; Mytilida; Mytilidae
Source: RNAcentral